UGUGAGUCAUUCUCUUUUUAUCAACUGUUUUACAAUACUCCAAAUCAUUUUCCAAAAGUUAUAAUUACAGUGAUUAAGUUUAUGUAAUCACCAAAUUACAGCCGGUAUGUGGGGUAUUGUGCACAGUAUUGUUAUUAUUGUUUCCUUCACAUUAGGUGGGCGAGCCUAAUUGUGACAUACGUCACUCAUUGGGACAGCCAAUGGUGAUAUGACCACAGUCACAGAGCUGGUCUGUGACAAAUACCUAUUCUUGAAUGUUGGUUGAUAAUAAACAUAUGUAAAAACCCUUAAUACUGUAAAUUAUAACAAAUGUUACUAUACUUUGUCGUUUGUCAUUUUGAUAAAUGAGUUGAAGUAUUGCACUUGGUCAUUCAUUGUGAAAAUUUGAUCUCGGGAAAUUAUCGUAACUACUGUAUUGAGCAUUAACCCGGUUUUUGUGAAAUUCGUUAAGGUUGAUUUAGGUUUUUCACCAAUACGUAUUCCAUUAUGUUAAACCACCAGAAAUACUCCCAACUACACCCUUACAAUCAAAUAAACUAUUAAAUCAUCAGAAGAUCCAGAAUAAUAAAGUGCAUGCUUAAUUAUCGGAAGAAAUAUAAUC
RNAcentral lists this long non-coding RNA (601 nucleotides) under Helianthus annuus (common sunflower). Its description in RNAcentral is "sRNA HanXRQr2_Chr11g0497461". Lineage: Eukaryota; Viridiplantae; Streptophyta; Magnoliopsida; Asterales; Asteraceae. The record is from RNAcentral.